AACAAGAUGGGACAUAAUUUAGAUUGGGGAGCUAAAAAAGGUUCCCUAAAGUUUAAUCUGAUACUUGAAGAUUUGUCAAAGAAAGAGAAUUUGUGUGAUGGUGGCUGGUUAAAAAAAAAAAAAAAAACAACACAAUAUGUGUAUUGCAGGGGUGGGGACGGGGUGCAAGGUGGAGGGAGCUAGAGAUCUGCAUCAUAAGGAGUUAGGACAGAGCAGUGACAGAUAAGGUCAAAGUGAUGGGCUGGGGUCAGAACCACAGGGACCCCAAAGGCCUUACUAAGAGGUUUGAAUUUUAUUGUAAGUGUGAUGUGGUGUGAUUUGAGACUCUUAAGACUGACAAUGUGAUGUUUUCAAAAAAUCACUCUAGCUACUUUCUGAAGAAUGGAAUAGAGGGAAGGAAGACUAGAUACAAGGAAACUCAGAAGACUAAAAUCCAAGCAAGAUAUUAUGGUCCAUUUGAUGGGAGACUUGGCAGUAAAGAUAGAGAGAGGUAGAUAGAUUUGAGAUGUAUUUUGGAAGCAAAUCAACAGGACUUGAUGAGACAACGAAUCUUAGAAAAUUAUUCUCAGGUUUCUUGCAAUGGUAGGCAGCCUCUAUAAUGCUCCCAAUUAUCUCCACUUCCAAACCUCUCCCUCAUUGUAACAGAGUUGUUCUGUGUGUUCAACAGAAUAUGGCAGAUAUAACAGCACGUAAUUUCCAAGGCAAGGUCAUAAAAGACAUUGUAGCUUCUGCCUUGUCCCUUCCUCUUGGAUCUCUUGCUAUGGAGUAGCAGCCCCAUGAAGACACCCGUGGUGGAAGAUCACUGAGGACUCCUGCCAACAGCCACCCAGUGACUGAGGCCUCUUGCAGAAAUCCAUAUGAGUGGGCCAGCUGACAAGAAAAUCUUCCAGCUCUAGUCAAGCCUUCAGAACACCAGCUCUUAGUGCCAGGAACUGCCAGGUAAGAAUUCUGACUACACUGAGGCCACCAUGCUCUGAGGAAGUCAAGCCAGAUGGAAAGAUCACAGCAGGAGAACUGGUCAGCAGUCAUACUCUUGAACUCAUCCCAACCCAGACUCCAGACAUGUGAAUUGACAAGUCUUCAGAUGAUUCCAGCACAAAGCCAUUGAGUCACCUCCAGCCAUUGAGUGUCCCCAGCCGAGACACCAGUCACCAUCAAGCAGAGCCAGUAUGCCUGUUAUGCCUGUCCAAAUUCUUGACCCACUAAAUUCUAUGAAAUUAAUAAAUGGUUGUUUAAGUUACUAAAUUUUAAACUUAAUUUGUUAUGCAGUAAUAGGAAUUGUUCCUGUCUG
RNAcentral lists this long non-coding RNA (1291 nucleotides) under Homo sapiens (human). RNAcentral describes it as "non-protein coding lnc-GYPA-1:4". The record is from RNAcentral. Lineage: Eukaryota; Metazoa; Chordata; Mammalia; Primates; Hominidae.